CCGCUUGAUGAAGAUGAAGUUGUGUCCCAUAUUCUUGAAGGUUUAGAUGCAGAUUACAACCCGUUUGUGUCUGCCAUCUCCAUGCGAGUGGACCAAGGCGUUGGUCUGAACGAGCUCUUCUCCCUUCUCCUCUCUACGGAGGCACGCAUCGAGG
Molecule: small nucleolar RNA, 154 nt
Filed under: Hordeum vulgare subsp. vulgare (domesticated barley)
Lineage: Eukaryota; Viridiplantae; Streptophyta; Magnoliopsida; Poales; Poaceae
Description: Small nucleolar RNA Z247
Rfam family: Small nucleolar RNA Z247
About the family: Z247 is a member of the C/D class of snoRNA which contain the C (UGAUGA) and D (CUGA) box motifs. Most of the members of the box C/D family function in directing site-specific 2'-O-methylation of substrate RNAs.
Source: Rfam by way of RNAcentral